GACGAACGCUGGCGGCGUGCUUAACACAUGCAAGUCGAACGGAAAGGCCCUGCUUUGGUGGGGUGCUCGGGUGGCGAACGGGGGAGUAACACGUUAGUAACCUGCCCUUGACUUUGGGAUAACUUCAGGAAACUGGGGCUAAUACCGGAUAGGAGCUCCUGCUGCAUGGUGGGGGUUGGAUAGUUUCGGCGGUUGGGGAUGGACUCGCGGCUUAUCAGCUUGUUGGUGGGGUAGUGGCUUACCAAGGCUUUGACGGGUAGCCGGCCUGAGAGGGUGACCGGCCACAUUGGGACUGAGAUACGGCCCAGACUCCUACGGGAGGCAGCAGUGGGGAAUAUUGCACAAUGGGCGGAAGCCUGAUGCAGCAACGCCGCGUGCGGGAUGACGGCCUUCGGGUUGUAAACCGCUUUCGCCUGUGACGAAGCGUGAGUGACGGUAAUGGGUAAAGAAGCACCGGCUAACUACGUG
Molecule: ribosomal RNA, 468 nt
Filed under: uncultured bacterium
Lineage: Bacteria
Description: partial 16S ribosomal RNA
Rfam family: Bacterial small subunit ribosomal RNA
Source: RNAcentral